ACUCCUACGGGAGGCAGCAGUGGGGAAUAUUGCACAAUGGGCGCAAGCCUGAUGCAGCCAUGCCGCGUGUGUGAAGAAGGCCUUACGGGUUGUUAAAGCAAGCUUUCAGUCGUGAGGAAGGUAGUGUAGUUAAUAGCUGCAUUAUUUGACGUUAGCGACAGAAGAAGCACCGGCUAACUCCGUGCCAGCAGCCGCGGUAAUACGGAGGGUGCGAGCGUUAAUCGGAAUUACUGGGCGUAAAGCGCAUGCAGGUGGUUUGUUAAGUCAGAUGUGAAAGUCCCGGGGCUCAACCUCGGAAUUGCAUUUGAAACUGGCAGUACUAGAGUACUGUAGAGGGGGGUAGAAUUUCAGGUGAUAGCGGUGAAAUGCGUAGAGAU
RNAcentral lists this ribosomal RNA (377 nucleotides) under uncultured bacterium. Its description in RNAcentral is "bacterial SSU rRNA". It matches the Rfam family "Bacterial small subunit ribosomal RNA", at positions 335 to 697 of the family's 1533-position model. The record is from RNAcentral.